This 720-nucleotide ribosomal RNA is filed under the name uncultured bacterium. Its description in RNAcentral is "bacterial SSU rRNA". It matches the Rfam family "Bacterial small subunit ribosomal RNA", at positions 760 to 1482 of the family's 1533-position model. The record is from RNAcentral.
UGUGGUUAUCAAAACAGGAUUAGAUACCCUGGUAGUCCACGCCAGUAAACGAUGAUAAACUAGGGAGUUUUGCGAUAAGACAGUAAGCUCUACAGCGAAAGGCGUUAAGUUAUCCACCUGGGGAGUACGCCGGCAACGGUGAAACUCAAAGGAAUUGACGGGGGCCCGCACAAGCGGAGGAACAUGUGGUUUAAUUCGAUGAUACGCGAGGAACCUUACCCGGGUUUGAACGUAGUUUGACAGGUCAGGAGACUGACUUUCUAGUAAUAGCAAAUUGCGAGGUGCUGCAUGGUUGUCGUCAGCUCGUGCCGUGAGGUGUCGGCUUAAGUGCCAUAACGAGCGCAACCCUUACUGUUAGUUGCCAUCAGGGUGACUGGGCACUCUAAUGGGACUGCCGGCGUAAGCUGUGAGGAAGGUGGGGAUGACGUCAAAUCAGCACGGCCCUUACAUCCGGGGCGACACACGUGUUACAAUGGCGAGGACAGCGAGAAGCCAACUAGUGAUAGUGCGCGAAUCUCUCAAACCUCGUCUCAGUUCGGAUCGGAGUCUGCAACUCGACUUCGUGAAGCUGGAUUCGCUAGUAAUCGCGGCAUCAGCCAUGGCGCGGUGAAUACGUUCCCGGGCCUUGUACACACCGCCCGUCAAGCCAUGGGAGUUGGGGGUACCUAAAGUGCGUAACCGUUGAGGAGCGUUCUAGGGGUAAAACUGAUGACUGGGGCU